GCCUCACUGUCAGCCGACCUUUUACAGUGAUCGACUAUUCUCCGAACUCCUUCCGGACUCCGUCGAUAUCGAGCUUCUUCGACAAUGAGGUUUCUACAGAGAUCGGACUCCAUCCGAGUUUCUACAGUGGUCGACCGCCUUCAAGAUUCUAAUCAGGCACCUGUGAGAGUCGAACUUCUACUACGAGCGGUCUACUCCGAACUCCUACAGCAGACGGUCUACUCCGAACUCUUACAACGAGCGGUCUACUCCGAACUCCUACAGCGGACGGUCUACUCCGAACUCCUACAGCGGGCGGUCUACUCCGGAUCUCUACUGUAAGCAAAUUCUAUUCGAGCCCC
This 341-nucleotide long non-coding RNA is filed under the name Elaeis guineensis (African oil palm). Its description in RNAcentral is "long non-coding RNA (EGUI_LNC042594)". Lineage: Eukaryota; Viridiplantae; Streptophyta; Magnoliopsida; Arecales; Arecaceae. The record is from RNAcentral.